UAGGUUGGACAAAAUGAAAUAGUUAAUGGGAUUAAGGUGAGUCUAAAUUUUGUUUGGGAGUUAAGCAGAUAAAGUGGAUAGGUGAGGGAGUAAAACGCACUUUUUCCAAUAAAAAAAGGCUAGUACAACAAAUAAAACUACACAAGUAUAGGAAAAUAACCAAGAGAACGAAAGGGUUACUCUGGUUUUGAUGCUUCUAAGUAACUUAUCAUAGACCUUAAUUACUCAAGCAUCUACUUACUAGAUGUGAUCGCCAUCGGGUCCUAAGAAUAAAGUGACAACUUGAGGAAACCCAUCGAACCACCCAAACUAAACCAACCGAGACCAACCAUGCAUAUGAGCAUAACCCCACUAAUCAUAAAAAACACCAGGCCGCUCUGGACAGACUGGUAUAUAAGUUUUUACACUUUGUAGGGUUGCACAUAUUUACUUAUGAGCCGUUUCCUAUUACUGGGUGAUCAACCAAUGUCACACUACAAGGUAUUUCAAAAAUUGUUGAUUCCCACCUUGUACACCCACCUGAUACUCUGCCCUCCCCCUCCCCACCCCCGUGCUACGAGACCACUAACAAUGUCAUGUGACAACUAAUUAUUUAUUUGGUCAGGUCCAUUGCCAUGGACCUCAUGAUUUUUUGGUCAUGUACUUGUCUAUCAACUGGUCCUUCUAAACCAGAGAAGGUACUAGCACCAAUCCACGUAUCAAACAACACAAACGAAAUCAAAAUCAUGCAUACAGAGCAAUCCACCCAUUCCAC
Molecule: long non-coding RNA, 754 nt
Filed under: Setaria viridis
Lineage: Eukaryota; Viridiplantae; Streptophyta; Magnoliopsida; Poales; Poaceae
Description: long non-coding RNA (SVIR_LNC003509)
Source: RNAcentral